UACGAAGGGGGCUAGCGUUGUUCGGAAUUACUGGGCGUAAAGCGCACGUAGGCGGAUUUGUAAGUCAGGGGUGAAAUCCCGGGGCUCAACCUCGGAACUGCCUUUGAUACUGCAAGUCUUGAGUCCGAUAGAGGUGAGUGGAAUUCCUAGCGUAGAGGUGAAAUUCGUAGAUAUUAGGAAGAACACCAGUGGCGAAGGCGGCUCACUGGAUCGGUACUGACGCUGAGGUGCGAAAGCGUGGGGAGCAAACAGG
This 253-nucleotide ribosomal RNA is filed under the name uncultured bacterium. Its description in RNAcentral is "partial 16S ribosomal RNA". It matches the Rfam family "Bacterial small subunit ribosomal RNA", at positions 524 to 776 of the family's 1533-position model. The record is from RNAcentral.